CCUACGUGAGGCUGCAGUGGGGAAUAUUGGACAAUGGGCGAAAGCCUGAUCCAGCCAUGCCGCGUGUGUGAAGAAGGCCUUCGGGUUGUAAAGCACUUUCAGUGGGGAAGAAAGCCUUGGGGCUAAUACCCUCGAGGAAGGACAUCACCCACAGAAGAAGCACCGGCUAACUCCGUGCCAGCAGCCGCGGUAAUACGGAGGGUGCGAGCGUUAAUCGGAAUUACUGGGCGUAAAGCGCGCGUAGGCGGUCUGAUAAGCCGGUUGUGAAAGCCCCGGGCUCAACCUGGGAACGGCAUCCGGAACUGUCAGGCUAGAGUGCAGGAGAGGAAGGUAGAAUUCCCGGUGUAGCGGUGAAAUGCGUAGAGAUCGGGAGGAAUACCAGUGGAGAAGGCGGCCUUCUGGACUGACACUGACGCUGAGGUGCGAAAGCGUGGGUAGCAAACAGGAUUAGAUACCCCAGUAGUC
Molecule: ribosomal RNA, 465 nt
Filed under: Vreelandella stevensii
Lineage: Bacteria; Pseudomonadati; Pseudomonadota; Gammaproteobacteria; Oceanospirillales; Halomonadaceae
Description: partial 16S ribosomal RNA
Rfam family: Bacterial small subunit ribosomal RNA
Source: RNAcentral